AGCGUUUAAACAGGGGUGUAUUCAUUUCGGCAAUUCUGUUGCAAAACUUUUCGUCUGUUACAACAGAAACAGUUUACUCCAAACUGAAAAUUAUUAUUUUUUACGAAAACGAGACUUUCUAUUGGACAGAUUCAGGGGAGGUGAUAGGCCUACUUCGCAAGACUCUUCCACAUUGUCUUGAAAAAGGAAGCGUGACUGACUGGUUGUGACAGCACACCACACUUGAUCCACAGGAGUCCGGCAGAGACGUGCCUGUGUGCUCGCCAAAGCUUCCAUCUGUUUGUGCGCGACUGGUGAGGAGUGUCCGUUAUUCACUAUCCUUAUGCUCUCCCCCCUUGCCAAUGGCCUGCCACCAUGCCAACUAUGGUGGUGAGAGCUAUAUUUACAAUCAGUUGUCAUGAUACUGGUUCAAUGAAAAGCAUGAGUAAAAUAUUGAUACCUUGUAGCCUAAGGUAAUUGUCGAAAUA
Molecule: non-coding RNA, 467 nt
Organism: Oncorhynchus mykiss (rainbow trout)
Lineage: Eukaryota; Metazoa; Chordata; Actinopteri; Salmoniformes; Salmonidae
Source: RefSeq, a predicted model, not a curated record